GCCAGACUCCUACGGGAGGCAGCAGUGGGGAAUAUUGCACAAUGGGGGAAACCCUGAUGCAGCAACGCCGCGUGGGUGAAGGAGCGUUUCGGCGCGUAAAGCUCUGUCAGCAGGGAAGAAGAAAGACGGUACCUGACCAAGAAGCCCCGGCUAACUACGUGCCAGCAGCCGCGGUAAUACGUAGGGGGCAAGCGUUAUCCGGAUUUACUGGGUGUAAAGGGAGCGUAGACGGCAGGGCAAGUCUGGAGUGAAAGGCAGGGGCCCAACCCCUGGACUGCUCUGGAAACUGUCCGGCUGGAGUGCAGGAGAGGUAAGUGGAAUUCCUAGUGUAGCGGUGAAAUGCGUAGAUAUUAGGAGGAACACCAGUGGCGAAGGCGGCUUACUGGACUGUAACUGACGUUGAGGCUCGAAAGCGUGGGGAGCAAACAGGAUUAGAUACCCGAGUAAUU
This 449-nucleotide ribosomal RNA is filed under the name uncultured bacterium. RNAcentral's name for it is "bacterial SSU rRNA". It matches the Rfam family "Bacterial small subunit ribosomal RNA", at positions 330 to 795 of the family's 1533-position model. The record is from RNAcentral.